Helianthus annuus (common sunflower) is the source of this 734-nucleotide RNA transcript. It is a transcript of the gene named histone-lysine N-methyltransferase ATXR3, with no coding region annotated. The transcript has 3 exons. Lineage: Eukaryota; Viridiplantae; Streptophyta; Magnoliopsida; Asterales; Asteraceae. The record is from RefSeq and is a predicted model, not a curated record.
CCUUGGUAUCUGACCCGGAUCCGCUGCCCAAAUCUAUUGUCUUGAUUUUUAUAUUUGAAAUUUUUAUUCUGCCCUUCAUACCACCGUCUCUCUCUACCAACCAUCGGUCUCACCAACCCUAUCUCCUUUUCAUUGAUUUUGAUUUCAAUCGUGAUUUCAAUUGAAUGAUAUCGUUUCACUGUCAACAGUUAGGAUGGAAUUCAUCUUAUUCAGUUACCCGUUUUUGUUUAAACAACCCCAAAAUCCUCGUUCUUCUUGCAUAUGUCAUUCAGCGUUCUCUAACCCCAACCCUCACCAUUGCCGGAAGAUACCAAUGGUUUGAUCCGUAAUACAUUGCAACAAAGCCGAGAUUUAGGCUGAGGGUGUUUUUAAUCAAAGGAUUCAGAAUUUGGCUCUUACCCUCGACAAGGUGAGAUAUAUGAUGACAAACGUGUUUGGAGAUCCAAAACGCGCACCACCAUUAUUAGAGCGACUUAGUCCGAAAGAAGUAGUUUCUCAUAUCUGGAAAGGUGAGGGAUCGUUUGUCGAGGAACUUAUUCAAUGCAUUGCACCUCAUUUGGAAGAUGGACACCUAAGGGAAGUAUGGUCCAGCAUUCGGGCGCACGACCCAUCUUCUUCCGAUGACGUCCUAGGGGCUCUUCGAAAAUCCUUAAUAUGGUAAACAAUGUUGUUCCUCCCAAAACGGGUUGGGUUGACGGUUUCCCCAUCAACAUUUUUACCAAGUUAUUUCUAUC